Molecule: microRNA precursor, 84 nt
Organism: Pan troglodytes (chimpanzee)
Lineage: Eukaryota; Metazoa; Chordata; Mammalia; Primates; Hominidae
Rfam family: mir-548 microRNA precursor family
Source: Rfam
UUUUAGAUUGGUGCAAAAGUAAUUGUGGUUUUUGCCAUUAAAAAUGAUGGCAAAAACUGUAAUUACUUUUGCACCAAUCUAAUA